UCCUCCACUGCUCCUGCUUCCUCCUUGCUGCCCCCCAUCCUGCUGCUCCCUCCCGCAGUCAGUGUUUGUGCAUGAACAGGCGUGUGUGACUCUUUCUUUCUGCUCGCUGCCAGCCCUAUAAAAUCCAUCUGGAAAGAGGCAGUCAAAAGGCCAUUUUUCUGGAGCACAGGACAGGAAAUUCUGCCUUUGGGCUGCUGCUGUUGAUAAUGUGACCUGCAGUCCCUAGCUUGGCUUUAACCUUUUGGAUAAAUGAAGAGAAGCAGGUUUUUGACCAGAAGCAGCCCAACAUUGAACCAGCAGAGAGACUGCUCACAAGGAAGCUCACAGGAGAUUCCCUCCAGGAGGCAAAUCACAGACAGGACCACAAGCAGGAGCUGGAAAUAGAAAGUGAGAGGGAGAUGUGUUUUCCGAAGAGACAGGGAAUGGUACCUCCUUAUGGGAUGGAAGUCUGGGAGUGCAAGGACAGUGGUAAAGCCCACAUCAGCAAGGCUAUCCUUGCUGAGGAUGAGUCAGACCUGCCCAUGUGUGGGAACAGUGUCAUUUGGAUUCAGCAGGUGGGGGAGAAAACCUAAAAGUGUCCAGAGUGUGGGAAGAGCUUCAACUGGAGUUCAUACCUGAGCCAGCACGAGAGGAUCCACUUGGCAGAGAAACCCUUCAGCUGCUCCGAGUGUGGAAAGAGUUCCACCCACAAUUCGGACAUGAUCACCAGCGGAUCCACACAGGGGAGAAGCCCUACCAGUGCAGCAAGUGCAAAAAAAGACCUUCAGCCAGAGGUUUAAUGUGAUCAGGCACCAGUGCACCCACACAGGAGAGAGACACUACCUGUGCAACAAAUGUGGGAAGAGCUUCAGCCAAGUCGCAUCUCAUCGUCCACCAGCGAAACCACAAGGGUGAGAAACCCUUUAAUUGCCCACGGUGUGAGGAAAGCUUCAGCAACCGCCUCUCCCUCAUCAUACAUCAGAGGGUCCACACUGGAGAGAAGCCCCACCAGUGCCAGGAGUGUGGGAAGCAUUUCUGGGACAGCUCAGCCAUCAUUCGGCAUCAGAGGGUUCACAUCAGAGAGAAACCCUACGAGUGCCCAGUGUGGGAAGACCUUCUGGCACAGCUCCUUGCUGGCAACACACAUGCGAACGCACACGGGUGAGAGGCCCUACAAGUGCCCCGUGUGCAGGAAGGGCUUCAGCCAGAGCUCGGUGGUCACCACUCACCGCCGGAUCCUUGGGGGAAAGGCCUUGCCCGUGUGUCACGGUGGCCUCCUGCCCAGCCCCUUCCAGUGCAUCAGGUGUGGCCAGAGGUGCAGCAACCACGCCACUCUGGCCAAGCACCGAGCCUGCACACCGAGGAGCAGCCCUACAUCUGUGUGGAGUGCGAGGACAGCUUCUGCUGGAGCUCAGCUCUCAACAUGCACCUGAGGAUCCACGGUGGCGAGAGACCCUACAAGUGUAAGGAGUGUAGGAAAAUGGUCUGGCACAGCUCAGCCCUCGGUGCCCACCUGAGGAUCCACGCAGGAGCCAAGCCCUACAAGUGUGUCGAGUGUGGGAAAACCUUCCCGAAAAGCUCAACACUUAAAGUGCAUUUGAAAAUCCACACAGCCAAGAAACCUUAUAAAUGUCUGGUGGGUAGAAGAAUCCUCACCUCUUGCUCACUUCUGCCAUAAACCUGGAGUGGAUGUUCAGAGCAGGAACAGAAAGUAAUUUUUGGGGGUACCUGAAUGCAUGGUGAGAACCACGGUGGGAAGAGACUGACUGGAGACAUGGUAUAUCUGGUGUAAGGGCCUGGUGCUUAACCCCAGAGGCACAAAAUAUUUCGGGAGAUAUGGAAACAGGGAAUUAGUCCUAAGAAUUGAGUGCUGGGGGUUUAGGAAGAGUGCCAAGAGCCUGAGGAAUGAGCACGAGCUUCAGGGUAAGUGGGGACUGUGAAUACAUGCUAGAAUAAUAACUGGGAGAAUUGGGCUUGUAAAAUACAGCUAAGGUGAAGAUCAAAAUAAAGCGUUCCAGGUUGGCUCUCACUCAAAACUUCGGCUUGUUAGAUGCCGUAAUAGUCUUAGGAACUCUUCUUUCUAUUACCUUCCCUUAUUUUUCAUGAACGGAGUAAGUUUACACAGUGUUUGACAAGGCAUUUCCAGAUCUUUUCAUAGUGAGACCUUGAAGCUGAACUUAAAUCUGUUUGUCUUUUCUUUCUAUUUUCCAAAUCUUACAUGGGACAUAGAAUUCCUACUUCAUGAUAGCUAGGUAACACAAAACUAAUGGCUGUUCCCAGAAAACCUGUAUACAGAAGUGCUUCCAGUUGAAAGGCAGUCUAUAGCUUCUCCCAGAUUUGUUGUUGCCGAUUUGAAACUCUUUCCAACGUGGGACAUCAACAAAACAUGUACAAAAAUGUGGCCUUAUAUUAUUUAACCCAAAAAGAAAGGAUUUGCCCCCAGAUGGCCUAGUCUGAACUAGUACACGAUGACUUCUCACUGCUGGUCCAGAGACUGAUUGCAAUAGACUUGUUCUUUUUAUGCCAUUCUUCUUCGGUCGCUGUUGUUUCCCGAGUAUUAACAAAUACAGUUCGGCAUUUAAGGACUGCGUAUUAUAUAAACCCCUUCUAUAUU
This is an RNA transcript of Vidua chalybeata, 2593 nucleotides long. RefSeq lists it as uncharacterized. The record is from RefSeq and is a predicted model, not a curated record. Lineage: Eukaryota; Metazoa; Chordata; Aves; Passeriformes; Viduidae. The transcript has 3 exons.